This 208-nucleotide unclassified non-coding RNA is filed under the name Hevea brasiliensis (rubber tree). The record is from RNAcentral. Lineage: Eukaryota; Viridiplantae; Streptophyta; Magnoliopsida; Malpighiales; Euphorbiaceae.
UUGAGAAUUCCCCCUGAAGGCAUCUGAAACAACAUAAGAAACAUAAUCAAUAACAAAAAGAGAAGAAACAAUAUUUGUCACAUAUAAAUCAAGCAAUGAUUACCAACCCAAUGGCAGAAUAAAAGGUAUGGUUUAUAAAUUCAUAUAAGGAAUUUUAAGAAAGCAACUGAAAGUAUAUGAACAUGAAUAAUGAGUUUGACCUAUUGAG